This 468-nucleotide ribosomal RNA is filed under the name uncultured bacterium. RNAcentral's name for it is "partial 16S ribosomal RNA". It matches the Rfam family "Bacterial small subunit ribosomal RNA", at positions 28 to 507 of the family's 1533-position model. The record is from RNAcentral.
GACGAACGCUGGCGGCGUGCUUAACACAUGCAAGUCGAACGGCAAGGCACUGCUAUUGUGGUGUGCUCGAGUGGCGAACGGGUGCGUAACACGUGAGUAUCCUGCCCUUCACUUUGGGAUAACUUCAGGAAACUGGGGCUAAUCUAGGAUAGGAGCUCCUGCUGCAUGGUGGGGGUUGGAAAGUUUCGGCGGUUGGGGAUGGACUGGCGGCUUAUCAGCUAGUUGGUGGGGUAGUGGCUUACCCAGGCAUUGACGGGUAGCCGGCCUGAGAGGGUGACCGGCGACAUGGGGACUGAGAGACGGCGCAGACGGCUACGGGAGGCAGAAGGGGGAAAUAUGGCACAAUGGGCGGAAGCGUGAGGCAGCAACGCCGCGUUCGUGAUGACGGCCUGCGGGGUGUAAACCGCUGUCGCCUGUGACGAAGCGUGAGUGACGGUAAUGGGUAAAGAAGCACCGGCUAACUACGUG